CGAAGCGCCUGGACUCGCCUCGGCGAGUUGACGAGGUUGGGGUUUUAUCGAGCUAUCGGCGGGUGCCCCACGGUUGGUCACGACCGAGAGAGGCCUCACAAAGCCCGGGAGCGAUCCCGGGGACAAAAGG
RNAcentral lists this non-coding RNA (130 nucleotides) under marine sediment metagenome. RNAcentral describes it as "glmS glucosamine-6-phosphate activated ribozyme aptamer". It matches the Rfam family "glmS glucosamine-6-phosphate activated ribozyme aptamer", at positions 11 to 151 of the family's 167-position model. From Rfam's summary of the family: This entry contains a glucosamine-6-phosphate activated ribozyme that is found in the mRNA for GlmS. GlmS is an enzyme that uses fructose-6-phosphate and glutamine to generate glucosamine-6-phosphate. The ribozyme catalyses self cleavage of the glmS mRNA that is thought to regulate GlmS activity. The record is from RNAcentral. RNAcentral also lists the same sequence under 1 other name.